Molecule: long non-coding RNA, 216 nt
Filed under: Gallus gallus (chicken)
Lineage: Eukaryota; Metazoa; Chordata; Aves; Galliformes; Phasianidae
Source: RNAcentral
CUUCCCUCCUCCAUUAUCAGAGAAGAGCGAGCCACGUCCCAGUGCCUGACCAACAACAACAACAGCAACCCCUCAGCUUCCUGAUGGCUUCACAGCAGAGAGGUGCUUCUGUUGCUCAAGCUGUUGCCAGUCUGGAAAUGAAGCAUCUCACUCUGGAGAAGCAUUCAGUCAGACGUACAGCUCGGCAAAUGCAGACCGGGGCAGCCUCACACCGAC